UACGUAGGGUGCAGGCGUUAAUCGGAAUUACUGGGCGUAAAGCGUGCGCAGGCGGCUCCUUAAGUCAGAUGUGAAAUCCCCGGGCUUAACCUGGGAACUGCAUUUGUGACUGCAUAGCUAGAGUACGGUAGAGGGGGAUGGAAUUCCGCGUGUAGCAGUGAAAUGCGUAGAUAUGCGGAGGAACACCGAUGGCGAAGGCAAUCCCCUGGACCUGUACUGACGCUCAUGCACGAAAGCGUGGGGAGCAAACAGG
This 253-nucleotide ribosomal RNA is filed under the name uncultured bacterium. RNAcentral's name for it is "partial 16S ribosomal RNA". It matches the Rfam family "Bacterial small subunit ribosomal RNA", at positions 524 to 776 of the family's 1533-position model. The record is from RNAcentral.